AACCUGGCGAAGCUGGCCUGCGCUGGCUUGCCUGUCGAGAUCGUGCAGAUCGCCGAGCUCGAGCGCUCGCCUGCGCCAUGCGAGAGACCCGAAGCGUUACCUCCGAUCGACCUCGACCGGGAAGCGCUGAUCAUUUACACCUCCGGGACCAGCGGCCGGCCCAAGGGUGCUCGCAUCACCUAUGGCAACCUCUGGUUCGGCGCAGUCGCCUCCGCCCUCCACCU
Molecule: unclassified non-coding RNA, 224 nt
Filed under: plant metagenome
Description: partial contains 5.8S ribosomal RNA, internal transcribed spacer 2, and large subunit ribosomal RNA
Source: RNAcentral